UUUCCGAAGGUGAACCUGCGGAAGGAUCAUUGUCGUGACCCUGACCAAAACAGACCGCGCACGCGUCAUCCAAUCCGCCGGCGACGGCACCGUCCAUCGUUCGGCCAUGUCCUCGACCACCUCCCCUCCUCGGAGUGGGUGGGGGCUCCGGGUAAAAGAACCCACGGCGUCGAAGGCGUCAAGGAACACUGUGCCUAACCCAGGGGCAUGGCUAGCUUGCUAGCCGUCCCCCGUGCUGCAAAGCUAUUUAAUCCACACGACUCUCGGCAAUGGAUAUCUCGGCUCUC
RNAcentral lists this unclassified non-coding RNA (287 nucleotides) under root metagenome. RNAcentral's name for it is "partial contains small subunit ribosomal RNA, internal transcribed spacer 1, and 5.8S ribosomal RNA". The record is from RNAcentral.